CUUUGCUGAAUGGGUGUGGGCAGCAAACCCAUGCAGAGGCUGUUAGUAAUCCUCACAGGCUCUGAUGUGGUCACACUGAACCGGAGACUUUGUGUUAUAUGUGAAUGCAUUGGCUUUACUUUCUAAUAUUUGGCUGGCUUUGUAAACCAUCUUCCUUUCUCCCCGCUCUUGUUUUCUCUCAUGAAGGCACCAUUUCUUGUUGGUUUUGGACUGUUUUUGUGACUAGAGAAGAAUGUAGGCUUCUCAGAAGCACAUGAGCUGUUUUGCUCUUCAGUAGUGUCCCUGCUCUGCUCAUAGACAGAGGAGAGCUGGGUGGACAGGAUCAGUCAGGAGGCUAAGGACAGGCAUGAAAGAAAGCCUCUGAAGCAGGAUGGAGUGGCAGAAAGGCUGCUUUUUCUCAAGGGAUCUGUGAAAUGAGGCAAUCCUGCUGUCAUUUCUGCAGCAGGGACUUGCUAGGGAAUAGGAAGUAAAUGGAGUGUCUUGUGGAGAUGCCUUGUAGGGAGAGCUGACUGCCAGCCAAAAACCCAUCCAGCUACAAAAGCAGCUGUUUCAGCCCAAAGAAUGUUUUGGUUGCAGUUAGCUGUGCUGUGCCCUGCAUCAGCCUCCAGAGAGCCUGUGUCACAGGACAGGAGACCUUUCAGCUGGAGAAGUCAGCCACUGUUCAAGCUUGACCCAGAUUCUGAGGCUUUCAUCUGGAGAGCUUCCUCACUGAUUUUCAGUCUUGGCUGUGUGAGUUUGUCUCCAGACCAGUCUGGGAAUGUAAGAGCUGGGGAAUCAUCUGACUCUUGCUGGAAGCAAGAGCACCCACUGGGAGCUGUUCUACCAGAUGCUGGUGAGGACAAAGAUGUUGGGAGGAUGUUGAAGAGGAAAAGAAUGAUGACAAUGAAUGAUGACCUGCAGCUGUUGGUUAACCAAUCUCAUUUGGAAAGAAGGCCCAUAGCAAGAGGAUCCUGUUAAUAACUCCAGUGUCUGGAUGCUGGCAGGACUGGGGUUUGCAUGAGUGGUGAAAUGGUGAAAUCAUGCCUAAACUCUGUUCCGAAGCUGGGGAGGCAGAGGUAUUGUGAAGCUUUUGUUCCCCGUGAAGUUUUGGAUAUGUUUGCCAGCAGAAAUCAAAUGUGAGCAUUUCCAAUUGUUGGGUGAAAGGUCCUUAAGUGAAACUAUUGCUCACUAAAGUGAAAAAUUUGCCUGUUCCCUCUAAAAUUGCCAUCUUGUUUCCAGACCUAUAAGGUGCAUGUCCUAGGAAUAGAAUAAAAUGUAAGUUGACCACA
RNAcentral lists this long non-coding RNA (1268 nucleotides) under Chloebia gouldiae (Gouldian finch). RNAcentral describes it as "Erythrura gouldiae (Gouldian finch) lncRNA (ENSEGOG00005006294.1)". Lineage: Eukaryota; Metazoa; Chordata; Aves; Passeriformes; Passeridae. The record is from RNAcentral.